GCGGGCGUGGUGGAAUGGUAGACACGCACGUUUGAGGGGCGUGUGCCGAGAGGCGUGAAGGUUCAAGUCCUUUCGCCCGCACCA
RNAcentral lists this transfer RNA (84 nucleotides) under Oligoflexia bacterium. RNAcentral's name for it is "tRNA-Leu". It matches the Rfam family "tRNA". From Rfam's summary of the family: Transfer RNA (tRNA) molecules are approximately 80 nucleotides in length. Their secondary structure includes four short double-helical elements and three loops (D, anti-codon, and T loops). The record is from RNAcentral. Lineage: Bacteria; Pseudomonadati; Bdellovibrionota; Oligoflexia.